UACGGAGGGUGCAAGCGUUACUCGGAUUUACUGGGCGUAAAGCGUGCGUAGGCGGUUUGUUGAGUCUGGCGUGAAAGCCCCGGGCUCAACCUGGGAAUGGCGAUGGAUACUGGCGAGCUAGAGUACGGUAGAGGAGAGUGGAAUUCCCGGUGUAGCAGUGAAAUGCGUAGAGAUCGGGAGGAACAUCAGUUGCGAAGGCGGCUCUCUGGACCAGUACUGACGCUGAGGCACGAAAGCGUGGGGAGCAAACAGG
RNAcentral lists this ribosomal RNA (253 nucleotides) under uncultured bacterium. Its description in RNAcentral is "partial 16S ribosomal RNA". It matches the Rfam family "Bacterial small subunit ribosomal RNA", at positions 524 to 776 of the family's 1533-position model. The record is from RNAcentral.